Long non-coding RNA from Meleagris gallopavo (turkey), 3738 nucleotides. The record is from Ensembl. NCBI's taxonomy places the organism in Eukaryota, Metazoa, Chordata, Aves, Galliformes, Phasianidae.
AUGCCCAGCACUGGAUCCACAUGUAUCAACUCUGAGCUGAGGGGAGGGAUUUCCUCCCCAGACUUGCUCGCAGCACCAGCUCAUGCAGCCCAGAAGGUGCUGGAUUUCUUUGAUGUAAGGACAUGCUGCUGGUUUGUGCCCACGUUGGUGUCCAUUAUAACCUCCAAUUCAUCCUCUGCUGAGCUGCUUUCCCCCCGGCUCUGUGACCUCGCAGCACAGAUGGCCCACCAGUGCAUGUCUUUAGCAGGCACUUUGAAGAUGAAUUGAAAUGACACUUUCUUCUUGAAGAGCUGCUUAUGUCUUAUGUCCAACAGAAGCAGAGAAUCAGUUGGUAAUUUUUAAUUUCAUGCAAGUAUGUUUUAUUCUUCAGCUUUAACAAUUUAAAUUUAUAACCAAACAUGCCUUUCCCUGUAAGCUAAUGGCCAUCUGUCUCUAGGUUGCGUGUGCUAAAGGAGUGCUGUUGAUAGGGGCAGCUGGACACAUCAAUUCAAUCAGUAAGUGUUCUGACAUUCUAUCAUCUCUUGACAAUAAUUUUUUUUUUUUUAGAUUUCUGUGAAUGAGAUCAAAGAGGUGUCAUCUGGAGAAGAUACUCUUAUCUUCCAUUUGUCCCAAUUGCAUCUCUUCUCAUGUUUUGGCUAUUCAUUCCUACCCUUGCAUGAUUUUACAUUUAUUCAUAUUGAAAUGACUCCCACUACCAGGUCAAGCAUUGGGUUAUAUUUCCUUCAUUAUUACCCUGAAAACCAAGCUUUGUUCGAUAACUCAGGAUUCUUCCUUUCUGGAUAGAGGGGUGAGAGGAUGAUAGAUUGUCAGGAAUGAACAGGGUAAGCUAACAGUUUAAUUGUAGCAUCCUACAUGUCACUUUUUAUUUUUUCCUGAGACUUCUUUAGUGAAAGUGGAGAACAUGCUGAACACAUAUAUAACAACGAAUGAUUUAGUCAAAACAAAAGUUCCAGGUAUGCUGUGUCUUGAAAUUGCGUCUUAAUAGUCUGAUUUCAUGUUCCUCACAUUUUGUGUUAUGCACAUGACUCAUCUUUGGUGAUCAUGAAUAGGAAAAUGAUUUGUCACUCAUAAAAAGGUGCUGGGGAACAGCAGUUUCAUGUGAUUGUGUCUUCCUUCAGCUUUUCCCAGAUGAAGAAUCUUUUAGUCUGUUCAAGGGUUUUGUUCUUCUUUUUGUGUGUGUGUGUACGUGCAAAGGGUUCAUUUUGUGUUUAUUACCUGUUUACCUCUCCUAGUUCCGUUGUGUUAUUUGGAGUGAAGGACCAGAAAUGUGCACAUUAACCCAGCACACUUGGAGUUCAUUCAGUGGUCUCCUCUUGCCAGUAGUUGGAUUCAUCUUGCUGCUGAACUUCUUCAUUUUGUCUAGUUCUUUUCGGAAGAAGCAGGAGUAAGCUACCUUAGUAGCAUAUUAGGAUUGGAGAUUUGCUCAUCCUGUGGAGGAAGCCUCCCUCUGGACUUCUAACAUCUCCUUUUCAUUGGCAGAGGAAGAAGGAAGAAGAAAGGAAAAGUGUAAAUGGGUAAAUGUGUACAUUUCAGCUUGAUGUACUGAAGAUUCACAAAGUGUAAUGUUCUCUAUAAUAUGUAAGAUUAGAGAAAAAGCAUGUUGGGGGGGGAAAAAAAAGGCAGAUUUUAAAGAGAACUUUUAAAGAUUACUCCUGCAAUAAGUUUCUGCCAGGGAAAUCUGACACAACACGCUUUGCAGUUGUAUAUGGGGAUAUGUCUGAGUGGAGAAGUUGGCUGUUUUCUAACACGGUGGUGUUGCAGCCUGCUAUUCUAGCUUGAAAAGGCUAAUAAUACCAAGAACUAAUAAAAGAAGACUGAGUUAUUUUUCCCAUGGUGAGCAAUAAUCAGAUAUUGCCUAUGAGUGACAGAGAAAUUUUGUCUGGCGUUUGCAACUUGAGUGUUCAAGAGAGAUUAUGUACUAAUAGUCUUUGCAUUUCUACAGAUUAACUUGUUGAAUUUUCUUUCCAUGAACUUUCAUGGGUAAAUAUGUAACAUAUAAUCACAAGUAUUUAUAAAUGAAUAAAUGCCUGUUUGUGAAUUCAGUAUGUUGAUCUAAACAUGCAAAUUGCAGUAAUUUAUACUGCUAUAAGUAAUCGUGUAAAAAUCAACACUGAACUAUCUCCUCAGCCUAUGAAAAUCAGAUUUUUUUUAAGUCAUUUGUGAUGUUCCUGCAUCACAAUGUUCAUGCACUUUACUGCAUAAGAUUUUUUUAAUGCUUUAUCAGGCUUAUUUUGUAAACAACUCCUAUUUCCAGUGCUUUUUACAUUCUCCUUGGCUAACCUCACAGCAUACAUUUCCAUGUUUUCUUUAUGAUGGGAUGCACAUAGACAAACAUUGAAAAAGUUCUAGCUCCUGUGUAGAGCCCAGACCCUUCCAUUCCUCUUUCCAAGCCUCUUUCCCAGUUUCUGGCGCUGGAGCCAUCCGAAAUCUUCUCAUUUUGUCACAGUAACCACCAUACUUCCUUCCCUUCUGUUAAUAUUUGAAUUGGAUUUUGGGAUUUCUGGUGAUUGUUUAGGUUUGUGGUCGUUGUCUACUACAGUGAGUGCUCAGAGGCCUUCUGGUGGUUCAGGCAGUGUCUGUGAAGACGCGGGUUCAUUUGCAGAGCAUCCAUUGGAGCAGCCUUUACUGGGUCCCCGCUCACAAGCUUGUUCCCUCUGAAGCUGCUGAUUAUCUCCUUGAAUUCAUUCAGCUGCCUUAUCCUCAUAGAGCAGAUUUUGCAAUCCGAUUUGGAAUAUAUAUAUGUAUAUAAAAGAUGAUACUUAGGUGUAUUUGAUCCUUCAGAAAUUGUGAAUUUCAAGACUCAGCAUAAAGCCUUAUUUAUUUAUUUUUUUAACUAACUGGUUUUCUUUUUUUUUUUCCCUCAGCUGCCAGUUCUUUUUAUCUAUUUGGAUAAUCCAAACAUGAAUAGUGAACGUAUUUUUGUAGUAUUUUGUGUGAAUGGGAUAAUCUGCUUCAUUUUCAGCCACAUCCCAGAUCCCAUAUGACCAUUGAUGUGUAUUAAAAAUUAAUUAGUGUUUGAACAUCCCUCCUUAUAGUUCUGAGCACUCUUUAGUCUUCAUGUAAAACUUCUCUGAAGGAUAAGAAGCGUUGCAGAGACAUAAAUCUAGAUUGUAAUAUUUUCAAAUAUAGCAUUAGGCAGUCACUUCUAUAAGCAGACGUAUUAUAUUCUGGUGUUCAUUUUUCUGUCGUUCUCUAAGAAAAGUGCCUGGGCAAACGCUUAGAUUGACUAUAGAAAUAUUUUCACUUGCAUAAAUCUGUGACUCUUUUAUAGGCAGUGGAAUCACUUCUUGAGUGUGAAUAAAAAUAGUCUAAGCCCAAAUGCAACUUUCUAGAAUUGUCUUUUUUGUCUACAGAAAAUCUCCCUUAAAUGCAUUUGCACUUCACUUUCAGUUACAUUAUAACUAAUUUUCAUUAAAGUUGACGUAAAUUUGAAAAUAAAGUUAUGCAGCAGGAGGAAGAAUUACAAGCAAUGAUCAGCAUGAAGUCAUCUUUUUUUUUCUUUCUGUGAAGUUCAUGUAGUCAAUCAAAACAAAAUUAUAUCAGAAGUAGCAUUUAGAACAAAGAUGCAGAAAAAUCAGAAGCAAUCUUGAAUCUAAACCCAGUAAACCAAGAUAAUGGAAAUACAUCUGUUCUUCUCAUGGGGAAAAUUAUUUCAUAUGAUAAACAGAUUAAAACAAAGCUGUAAUUUGUACAAUUUCUUGGAUGACUAGUCAUAAAAAUUGUGUAAUUAUAUAUAUG